GACGAACGCUGGCGGCGUGCUUAACACAUGCAAGUCGAACGGUGAUGCGGAGCUUGCUCCGCGGAUCAGUGGCGAACGGGUGAGUAACACGUGAGUAACCUGCCCUCGACUCUGGGAUAAGCGUUGGAAACGACGUCUAAUACCGGAUACGACCCGUGGAGGCAUCUCCUACGGGUGGAAAGAGUUUCGGUCGAGGAUGGACUCGCGGCCUAUCAGCUUGUUGGUGAGGAAUGGCUCACCAAGGCGACGACGGGUAGCCGGCCUGAGAGGGUGACCGGCCACACUGGGACUGAGACACGGCCCAGACUCCUACGGGAGGCAGCAGUGGGGAAUAUUGCACAAUGGGCGCAAGCCUGAUGCAGCAACGCCGCGUGAGGGAUGAC
RNAcentral lists this ribosomal RNA (383 nucleotides) under uncultured bacterium. RNAcentral's name for it is "bacterial SSU rRNA". It matches the Rfam family "Bacterial small subunit ribosomal RNA", at positions 28 to 412 of the family's 1533-position model. The record is from RNAcentral.